Molecule: ribosomal RNA, 482 nt
Filed under: uncultured Saprospiraceae bacterium
Lineage: Bacteria; Pseudomonadati; Bacteroidota; Saprospiria; Saprospirales; Saprospiraceae
Description: bacterial SSU rRNA
Rfam family: Bacterial small subunit ribosomal RNA
Source: RNAcentral
GAUGAACGCUAGCGGGAGGCUUAAUACAUGCAAGUCGAACGGUAACGAUGGAGCUUGCUCCAGGCGACGAGUGGCGAACGGGUGAGUAACGCGUACAUAACCUACCUUUUACUAGGGAAUAGCCUUGGGAAACUGAGAAUAAUACCCUAUGGUAUCCUAUUAUUUCAUGAUGAUAGGAUUAAAGUUUCGGCGGUAAAAGAUGGAUGUGCGUCUGAUUAGCUAGUUGGUAAGGUAACGGCUUACCAAGGCAACGAUCAGUAGGGGGCGUGAGAGCGUGAUCCCCCACACGGGUACUGAGACACGGACCCGACUCCUACGGGAGGCAGCAGUAAGGAAUAUUGGACAAUGGGCGAAAGCCUGAUCCAGCCAUCCCGCGUGCAGGAUGACGGCCCUCUGGGUUGUAAACUGCUUUUGUGUAGGAAGAAACGCCUUCAUUUAUGAGGGUUUGACGGUACUACAAGAAUAAGCAUCGGCUAACUCCG